AGCUCUGUGCAGUGGUAGUAUCAUAGCCAAUGAGGUUUAUCUGAGGCGCGAUUAUUGCUAAUUGAAAGACUCAAAAUUCCCAGCUUGGCUAACUACUGGCGUAUCAUUUGGG
This 112-nucleotide small nuclear RNA is filed under the name Vulpes vulpes (red fox). Its description in RNAcentral is "U4 spliceosomal RNA (ENSVVUG00000004042.1)". It matches the Rfam family "U4 spliceosomal RNA". Rfam says of the family: U4 small nuclear RNA (U4 snRNA) is a component of the major U2-dependent spliceosome. The structure of U4 snRNA from yeast and human has been reported. The record is from Rfam by way of RNAcentral. Lineage: Eukaryota; Metazoa; Chordata; Mammalia; Carnivora; Canidae.